Molecule: ribosomal RNA, 892 nt
Filed under: uncultured bacterium
Lineage: Bacteria
Description: bacterial SSU rRNA
Rfam family: Bacterial small subunit ribosomal RNA
Source: RNAcentral
UAACACAUGCAAGUCGAACGGUAACAUUUCUAGCUUGCUAGAAGAUGACGAGUGGCGGACGGGUGAGUAAUGCUUGGGAACUUGCCUUUGCGAGGGGGAUAACAGUUGGAAACGACUGCUAAUACCGCAUAAUGUCUACGGACCAAACGGGGCUUAGGCUCCGGCGCAAAGAGAGGCCCAAGUGAGAUUAGCUAGUUGGUAAGGUAAUGGCUUACCAAGGCAACGAUCUCUAGCUGUUCUGAGAGGAAGAUCAGCCACACUGGAACUGAGACACGGUCCAGACUCCUACGGGAGGCAGCAGUGGGGAAUAUUGCACAAUGGGGGAAACCCUGAUGCAGCCAUGCCGCGUGUGUGAAGAAGGCCUUCGGGUUGUAAAGCACUUUCAGUUGUGAGGAAAAGUUAGUAGUUAAUACCUGCUAGCCGUGACGUUAACAACAGAAGAAGCACCGGCUAACUCCGUGCCAGCAGCCGCGGUAAUACGGAGGGUGCGAGCGUUAAUCGGAAUUACUGGGCGUAAAGCGCACGCAGGCGGUUUGUUAAGCUAGAUGUGAAAGCCCCGGGCUCAACCUGGGAUAGUCAUUUAGAACUGGCAGACUAGAGUCUUGGAGAGGGGAGUGGAAUUCCAGGUGUAGCGGUGAAAUGCGUAGAUAUCUGGAGGAACAUCAGUGGCGAAGGCGACUCCCUGGCCAAAGACUGACGCUCAUGUGCGAAAGUGUGGGUAGCGAACAGGAUUAGAUACCCUGGUAGUCCACACCGUAAACGCUGUCUACUAGCUGUUUGUGACUUUAAGUCGUGAGUAGCGAAGCUAACGCGCUAAGUAGACCGCCUGGGGAGUACGGCCGCAAGGUUAAAACUCAAAUGAAUUGACGGGGGCCCGCACAAGCGGUGGAGC